UCCGGUUUGUCACCGGCAGUCCCGACAGAGUCCCCACCACUACGUGCUGGCAACAUGGAACGAGGGUUGCGCUCGUUGCGGGACUUAACCCAACAUCUCACGACACGAGCUGACGACAACCAUGCACCACCUGUAUACCGGCCCAAAAGGGGGCACCUGUUUCCAGGCGUUACCGGUACAUGUCAAGCCUUGGUAAGGUUCUUCGCGUUGCAUCGAAUUAAUCCGCAUGCUCCGCCGCUUGUGCGGGCCCCCGUCAAUUCCUUUGAGUUUUAGCCUUGCGGCCGUACUCCCCAGGCGGGGCACUUAAUGCGUUAGCUACGGCGCGGAAAACGUGGAAUGUCCCCCACACCUAGUGCCCAACGUUUACGGCAUGGACUAC
This 379-nucleotide unclassified non-coding RNA is filed under the name uncultured Micrococcaceae bacterium. RNAcentral's name for it is "contains 16S-23S intergenic spacer region". Lineage: Bacteria; Bacillati; Actinomycetota; Actinomycetes; Micrococcales; Micrococcaceae. The record is from RNAcentral.